This 402-nucleotide ribosomal RNA is filed under the name uncultured bacterium. Its description in RNAcentral is "bacterial SSU rRNA". It matches the Rfam family "Bacterial small subunit ribosomal RNA", at positions 30 to 431 of the family's 1533-position model. The record is from RNAcentral.
AUUGAACGCUGGCGGCAUGCCUUACACAUGCAAGUCGAACGGCAGCACGGGAGCAAUCCUGGUGGCGAGUGGCGAACGGGUGAGUAAUAUAUCGGAACGUGCCCAGUCGUGGGGGAUAACGUAGCGAAAGCUACGCUAAUACCGCAUACGAUCUAUGGAUGAAAGCGGGGGAGUCGCAAGACCUCGCGCGAUUGGAGCGGCCGAUAUCAGAUUAGGUAGUUGGUGGGGUAAAAGGCCUACCAAGCCUUCGAUCUGUAGCUGGUCUGAGAGGACGACCAGCCACACUGGAACUGAGACACGGUCCAGACUCCUACGGGAGGCAGCAGUGGGGGAAUUUUGGACAAUGGGCGCAAGCCUGAUCCAGCAAUGCCGCGUGCAGGAUGAAGGCCUUCGGUUGUAACU